AUGUGUGUGUGCAGUCUGUGUGCAUGUGCAUAUAUGCAUCUGGUCUUGUGUGUGUGUACGCAGUGUGUGUAUGUGUCUGUGUGCAUGUGCGUGUGUCCGUGCGUCUGCGUGCAAGUGUCGUCGCGGUGCAGGAGAAGGCGGAGGGCCUGCAGUGGCGAUGCGGGGCAGGGAGCAGGGCGGCCACCGGCGGGCAGCUCACCUGGUGAAGCGGACCUUGCAGAUGUUGCACUCGUAGGGCUUCUCGCCCGUGUGGGUGCGGAUGUGCCGCGGCAGCUUGCCGGCGCCCUGGAUGACCUUCUCGCAGAUGGGGCACUUCUGGAAGGCCUUGGCUCGGAUCUUCUUCUCCACCUUCUGCGACCAGGCGGGUCAGCUGGAAGUACUUCAGGUAGUAGUCCAUGGUCGCCGCCCGACUCGUCGCUGUCCCCGCCAGCGGCCCCCCGCCCGCCCACCGAGGACAUCAUCUGCUGCAGCAGCGUGCUGGCCGCCAGCCCGUCCACGUCGGGCCCGUCCCGUCCUCGCCUCGGCCGCUCCCGACAGGAAGCCCGGAGAGUCGCCCGGCUCGGGGGCCGCCUCCGACAGCGACGCCGGCCUCCUCUCCGCCCGGCCGUAGUGGCGUUCUGCGUGGCGGCCGGCGGGGCCACCGGCGGCGGAAACAGACCCCCGGUGGGGCGUCCUCAUCCCGCUCGGCCACAGACCCGGGUUGCUGUCGCCCUCCCCGUCCCCCGUCGGGUCGCCGGGGGCCCGCCCAUAGCCGUUGCAGUCGCCCGGCCACGGCGGCCACGGCAGCGGCCACGGCCUCCUUGGUGGCAUCCAGGUCAUCAUCGGACGCCCGGGCGGACCACGGAAGCUGGCGGCGGCGGCCGCGGGGGCAGGCUGUUCAUGGGGUUGCUCUGGAAGAACUCGAGGUACUCCUUGGCUGAGGAGGUUGCGCUGAUCAAUUUGAUCUACAAGGUCCAGCUGCCCGGCGUCGGCGCCCGCGUCGGCCGCCAGGAUCUGCCGGUCCAGGAGGUCGGCGCACGUGGCUCACGGCGGGGAUCUCCAGCAGGCGGGCGGCACUGA
This 1059-nucleotide long non-coding RNA is filed under the name Macaca fascicularis (crab-eating macaque). RNAcentral's name for it is "lncRNA (ENSMFAG00000057190.1)". The record is from RNAcentral. Lineage: Eukaryota; Metazoa; Chordata; Mammalia; Primates; Cercopithecidae.